This 478-nucleotide ribosomal RNA is filed under the name uncultured bacterium. RNAcentral's name for it is "partial 16S ribosomal RNA". It matches the Rfam family "Bacterial small subunit ribosomal RNA", at positions 28 to 507 of the family's 1533-position model. The record is from RNAcentral.
GAUGAACGCUGGCGGCGUGCUUAACACAUGCAAGUCGAACGGGAAAUAUUUCAUUGAGACUUCGGUGGAUUUGAUUUAUUUCUAGUGGCGGACGGGUUAGUAACGCGUGGGUAACCUGCCUUAUACAGGGGGAUAACAGUCAGAAAUGGCUGCUAAUACCGCAUAAGCGCACAGAGCUGCAUGGCUCAGUGUGAAAAACUCCGGUGGUAUAAGAUGGACCCGCGUUGGAUUAGCUAGCUGGUGGGGUAACGGCCCACCAAGGCGACGAUCCAUAGCCGGCCUGAGAGGGUGAACGGCCACAUUGGGACUGAGACACGGCCCAGACUCCUACGGGAGGCAGCAGUGGGGAAUAUUGCACAAUGGGGGAAACCCUGAUGCAGCGACGCCGCGUGAAGGAAGAAGUAUCUCGGUAUGUAAACUUCUAUCAGCAGGGAAGAUAGUGACGGUACCUGACUAAGAAGCCCCGGCUAACUACGUG